Molecule: ribosomal RNA, 111 nt
Filed under: Salvator merianae (Argentine black and white tegu)
Lineage: Eukaryota; Metazoa; Chordata; Lepidosauria; Squamata; Teiidae
Source: RNAcentral
UUCAGCAUUUAGGCUGCCACUCACUAAUGUCUGAGCUCCNAAACUAAGCACAAUCAGGCCUGGUAAACACUUGGAUGGGAGACCACAUGGGAAUACCAGAUAAUGUAGGGA